This 253-nucleotide ribosomal RNA is filed under the name uncultured bacterium. RNAcentral describes it as "partial 16S ribosomal RNA". It matches the Rfam family "Bacterial small subunit ribosomal RNA", at positions 524 to 776 of the family's 1533-position model. The record is from RNAcentral.
UACGUAGGGUGCAAGCGUUGUCCGGAAUUAUUGGGCGUAAAGAGCUCGUAGGCGGUCUGUCGCGUCUGCUGUGAAAACUCAGGGCUUAACCCUGAGCUUGCAGUGGGUACGGGCAGACUAGAGUUCGGUAGGGGAGUCUGGAAUUCCUGGUGUAGCGGUGAAAUGCGCAGAUAUCAGGAGGAACACCGGUGGCGAAGGCGGGACUCUGGGCCGAUACUGACGCUGAGGAGCGAAAGCGUGGGGAGCAAACAGG